CGCACUCUCGUUUAGAUUGAAGGAGCUUGCUCCUGAUUGAUAAACAUUUGAGUGAGUGGCGGACGGGUGAGUAACACGUGGGUAACCUGCCCUAAAGUGGGGGAUAACAUUUGGAAACAGAUGCUAAUACCGCAUAAAACCUAACACCGCAUGGUGUAGGGUUGAAAGAUGGUUUCGGCUAUCACUUUAGGAUGGACCCGCGGUGCAUUAGUUAGUUGGUGAGGUAAAGGCUCACCAAGACCGUGAUGCAUAGCCGACCUGAGAGGGUAAUCGGCCACACUGGGACUGAGACACGGCCCAGACUCCUACGGGAGGCAGCAGUAGGGAAUCUUCCACAAUGGACGAAAGUCUGAUGGAGCAACGCCGCGUGAGUGAAGAAGGUUUUCGGAUCGUAAAACUCUGUUGUUGGAGAAGAAUGUAUCUGAUAGUAACUGAUCAGGUAGUGACGGUAUCCAACCAGAAAGCCACGGCUAACUACGUGCCAGCAGCCGCGGUAAUACGUAGGUGGCAAGCGUUGUCCGGAUUUAUUGGGCGUAAAGCGAGCGCAGGCGGUUUCUUAAGUCUGAUGUGAAAGCCUUCGGCUCAACCGAAGAAGUGCAUCGGAAACUGGGAAACUUGAGUGCAGAAGAGGACAGUGGAACUCCAUGUGUAGCGGUGAAAUGCGUAGAUAUAUGGAAGAACACCAGUGGCGAAGGCGGCUGUCUGGUCUGUAACUGACGCUGAGGCUCGAAAGCAUGGGUAGCAAACAGGAUUAGAUACCCUGGUAGUCCAUGCCGUAAACGAUGAGUGCUAGGUGUUGGAGGGUUUCCGCCCUUCAGUGCCGCAGCUAACGCAUUAAGCACUCCGCCUGGGGAGUACGACCGCAAGGUUGAAACUCAAAGGAAUUGACGGGGGCCCGCACAAGCGGUGGAGCAUGUGGUUUAAUUCGAAGCAACGCGAAGAACCUUACCAGGUCUUGACAUCCUUUGACCACUCUAGAGAUAGAGCUUUCCCUUCGGGGACAAAGUGACAGGUGGUGCAUGGUUGUCGUCAGCUCGUGUCGUGAGAUGUUGGGUUAAGUCCCGCAAC
RNAcentral lists this ribosomal RNA (1068 nucleotides) under Lactobacillus sp. LS28. RNAcentral describes it as "bacterial SSU rRNA". It matches the Rfam family "Bacterial small subunit ribosomal RNA", at positions 53 to 1093 of the family's 1533-position model. The record is from RNAcentral. Lineage: Bacteria; Bacillati; Bacillota; Bacilli; Lactobacillales; Lactobacillaceae.